Molecule: ribosomal RNA, 2650 nt
Filed under: Escherichia coli
Lineage: Bacteria; Pseudomonadati; Pseudomonadota; Gammaproteobacteria; Enterobacterales; Enterobacteriaceae
Description: bacterial LSU rRNA
Rfam family: Bacterial large subunit ribosomal RNA
Source: RNAcentral
CACACUAUCAUUAACUGAAUCCAUAGGUUAAUGAGGCGAACCGGGGGAACUGAAACAUCUAAGUACCCCGAGGAAAAGAAAUCAACCGAGAUUCCCCCAGUAGCGGCGAGCGAACGGGGAGCAGCCCAGAGCCUGAAUCAGUGUGUGUGUUAGUGGAAGCGUCUGGAAAGGCGCGCGAUACAGGGUGACAGCCCCGUACACAAAAAUGCACAUGCUGUGAGCUCGAUGAGUAGGGCGGGACACGUGGUAUCCUGUCUGAAUAUGGGGGGACCAUCCUCCAAGGCUAAAUACUCCUGACUGACCGAUAGUGAACCAGUACCGUGAGGGAAAGGCGAAAAGAACCCCGGCGAGGGGAGUGAAAAAGAACCUGAAACCGUGUACGUACAAGCAGUGGGAGCACGCUUAGGCGUGUGACUGCGUACCUUUUGUAUAAUGGGUCAGCGACUUAUAUUCUGUAGCAAGGUUAACCGAAUAGGGGAGCCGAAGGGAAACCGAGUCUUAACUGGGCGUUAAGUUGCAGGGUAUAGACCCGAAACCCGGUGAUCUAGCCAUGGGCAGGUUGAAGGUUGGGUAACACUAACUGGAGGACCGAACCGACUAAUGUUGAAAAAUUAGCGGAUGACUUGUGGCUGGGGGUGAAAGGCCAAUCAAACCGGGAGAUAGCUGGUUCUCCCCGAAAGCUAUUUAGGUAGCGCCUCGUGAAUUCAUCUCCGGGGGUAGAGCACUGUUUCGGCAAGGGGGUCAUCCCGACUUACCAACCCGAUGCAAACUGCGAAUACCGGAGAAUGUUAUCACGGGAGACACACGGCGGGUGCUAACGUCCGUCGUGAAGAGGGAAACAACCCAGACCGCCAGCUAAGGUCCCAAAGUCAUGGUUAAGUGGGAAACGAUGUGGGAAGGCCCAGACAGCCAGGAUGUUGGCUUAGAAGCAGCCAUCAUUUAAAGAAAGCGUAAUAGCUCACUGGUCGAGUCGGCCUGCGCGGAAGAUGUAACGGGGCUAAACCAUGCACCGAAGCUGCGGCAGCGACACUAUGUGUUGUUGGGUAGGGGAGCGUUCUGUAAGCCUGUGAAGGUGUACUGUGAGGUAUGCUGGAGGUAUCAGAAGUGCGAAUGCUGACAUAAGUAACGAUAAAGCGGGUGAAAAGCCCGCUCGCCGGAAGACCAAGGGUUCCUGUCCAACGUUAAUCGGGGCAGGGUGAGUCGACCCCUAAGGCGAGGCCGAAAGGCGUAGUCGAUGGGAAACAGGUUAAUAUUCCUGUACUUGGUGUUACUGCGAAGGGGGGACGGAGAAGGCUAUGUUGGCCGGGCGACGGUUGUCCCGGUUUAAGCGUGUAGGCUGGUUUUCCAGGCAAAUCCGGAAAAUCAAGGCUGAGGCGUGAUGACGAGGCACUACGGUGCUGAAGCAACAAAUGCCCUGCUUCCAGGAAAAGCCUCUAAGCAUCAGGUAACAUCAAAUCGUACCCCAAACCGACACAGGUGGUCAGGUAGAGAAUACCAAGGCGCUUGAGAGAACUCGGGUGAAGGAACUAGGCAAAAUGGUGCCGUAACUUCGGGAGAAGGCACGCUGAUAUGUAGGUGAAGUCCCUCGCGGAUGGAGCUGAAAUCAGUCGAAGAUACCAGCUGGCUGCAACUGUUUAUUAAAAACACAGCACUGUGCAAACACGAAAGUGGACGUAUACGGUGUGACGCCUGCCCGGUGCCGGAAGGUUAAUUGAUGGGGUCAGCGCAAGCGAAGCUCUUGAUCGAAGCCCCGGUAAACGGCGGCCGUAACUAUAACGGUCCUAAGGUAGCGAAAUUCCUUGUCGGGUAAGUUCCGACCUGCACGAAUGGCGUAAUGAUGGCCAGGCUGUCUCCACCCGAGACUCAGUGAAAUUGAACUCGCUGUGAAGAUGCAGUGUACCCGCGGCAAGACGGAAAGACCCCGUGAACCUUUACUAUAGCUUGACACUGAACAUUGAGCCUUGAUGUGUAGGAUAGGUGGGAGGCUUUGAAGUGUGGACGCCAGUCUGCAUGGAGCCGACCUUGAAAUACCACCCUUUAAUGUUUGAUGUUCUAACGUGGACCCGUAAUCCGGGUUGCGGACAGUGUCUGGUGGGUAGUUUGACUGGGGCGGUCUCCUCCUAAAGAGUAACGGAGGAGCACGAAGGUUGGCUAAUCCUGGUCGGACAUCAGGAGGUUAGUGCAAUGGCAUAAGCCAGCUUGACUGCGAGCGUGACGGCGCGAGCAGGUGCGAAAGCAGGUCAUAGUGAUCCGGUGGUUCUGAAUGGAAGGGCCAUCGCUCAACGGAUAAAAGGUACUCCGGGGAUAACAGGCUGAUACCGCCCAAGAGUUCAUAUCGACGGCGGUGUUUGGCACCUCGAUGUCGGCUCAUCACAUCCUGGGGCUGAAGUAGGUCCCAAGGGUAUGGCUGUUCGCCAUUUAAAGUGGUACGCGAGCUGGGUUUAGAACGUCGUGAGACAGUUCGGUCCCUAUCUGCCGUGGGCGCUGGAGAACUGAGGGGGGCUGCUCCUAGUACGAGAGGACCGGAGUGGACGCAUCACUGGUGUUCGGGUUGUCAUGCCAAUGGCACUGCCCGGUAGCUAAAUGCGGAAGAGAUAAGUGCUGAAAGCAUCUAAGCACGAAACUUGCCCCGAGAUGAGUUCUCCCUGAC